CAGGGAUUAUCAUCUCGGGUUCUUUCUUCAACAUUUCCAUUAGAACCAACACCUUCGACACCACUUUAUGCUUCUCGGUGGCGUUUUCAAGAUCAUGGACCCUCUUGUCCUUGCUCCUGUCUUGCACUCUCUUGCUGGUGGUCAUGAAUCUAUGCUGCGGCCAUGUAAGUAAAACCUGGCCAAAACUCCAGUUUCUUCUCAGGGUAGGCGAACGCACUGGCGAGGCGACAAAGCAACUGAACUCUCUUGCCACGCCCCAUUCAUUCGAGGAAGCUACGAUUUUACUAAUGAUUCGAAGACGGGUCAUCUCAAGAUGCUAGUGUCUCGCUCCAAAUUCAAGAAACAAGCCCAAGAAAAGCAAACGUCUCUCACUCAGGACAAACAUCAAACACCUUACGUGCACUGGAACGAGGAACAACAAGAACCCGAGACGAAAGUUUUCGAGAAGAUGGCCGUGAAUGCGAGAUUAUAACACCUCUCUUGGAUCGCUCGAUCAGCAUCAGUUUCGACUUCGACAGAAGCCGGUUGGGAUUUCAGGACGUGGAUUGUGCUGAGAACGAAGGAGAAGAAGAAGAAGAAGAAGAAGCGAGGCGCGAAGAAGAG
RNAcentral lists this long non-coding RNA (603 nucleotides) under Eucalyptus grandis. Its description in RNAcentral is "long non-coding RNA (EGRA_LNC007412)". Lineage: Eukaryota; Viridiplantae; Streptophyta; Magnoliopsida; Myrtales; Myrtaceae. The record is from RNAcentral.